AGACCGAUAGCGAACAAGUAGAGUGAUCGAAAGAUGAAAAGCACUUUGAAAAGAGGGUUAAAUAGCACGUGAAAUUGUUGAAAGGGAAGGACUUAUGAGCAGACUUUUUCCAGGCGGAUCAUCCGGUGUUCUCACCGGUGCACUUCGCCUGGUCGAGGCCAGCAUCAGUUUUCGGAGGGGGAUAAAAGCCUCGGGAAUGUGGCUCCCUCGGGAGUGUUAUAGCCCGUUGCAUAAUACCCUUCUGGGGACUGAGGUACGCGCUUCUGCAAGGAUGCUGGCGUAAUGCUCAUCAGUCACCCGUCUUGAAACACGGACCAAG
This 319-nucleotide ribosomal RNA is filed under the name Arthrinium puccinioides. Its description in RNAcentral is "eukaryotic LSU rRNA". It matches the Rfam family "Eukaryotic large subunit ribosomal RNA", at positions 331 to 670 of the family's 3401-position model. The record is from RNAcentral. Lineage: Eukaryota; Fungi; Ascomycota; Sordariomycetes; Amphisphaeriales; Apiosporaceae.